GCCGGGAUGGCCGAGCGGUAAGGCGCAUGCCUGGAGAGCAUGUGAGGCUCCCGCCUCUCGAGGGUUCAAAUCCCUCUCCCGGCG
RNAcentral lists this transfer RNA (84 nucleotides) under Methanonatronarchaeia archaeon. RNAcentral's name for it is "tRNA-Ser". It matches the Rfam family "tRNA". Rfam says of the family: Transfer RNA (tRNA) molecules are approximately 80 nucleotides in length. RNAcentral also lists the same sequence under 2 other names. The record is from RNAcentral. Lineage: Archaea; Methanobacteriati; Methanobacteriota; Methanonatronarchaeia.